GAAACCGGCGGUGUGCCUAUACAUGCAGUCGAACGCGUUGGCCCAAUUGAUUGAUGGUGCUUGCACCUGAUUGAUUUUGGUCGCCAACGAGUGGCGGACGGGUGAGUAACACGUAGGUAACCUGCCCAGAAGCGGGGGACAACAUUUGGAAACAGAUGCUAAUACCGCAUAACAGCGUUGUUCGCAUGAACAACGCUUAAAAGAUGGCUUCUCGCUAUCACUUCUGGAUGGACCUGCGGUGCAUUAGCUUGUUGGUGGGGUAAUGGCCUACCAAGGCGAUGAUGCAUAGCCGAGUUGAGAGACUGAUCGGCCACAAUGGGACUGAGACACGGCCCAUACUCCUACGGGAGGCAGCAGUAGGGAAUCUUCCACAAUGGGCGCAAGCCUGAUGGAGCAACACCGCGUGAGUGAAGAAGGGUUUCGGCUCGUAAAGCUCUGUUGUUAAAGAAGAACACGUAUGAGAGUAACUGUUCAUACGUUGACGGUAUUUAACCAGAAAGUCACGGCUAACUACGUGCCAGCAGCCGCGGUAAUACGUAGGUGGCAAGCGUUAUCCGGAUUUAUUGGGCGUAAAGAGAGUGCAGGCGGUUUUCUAAGUCUGAUGUGAAAGCCUUCGGCUUAACCGGAGAAGUGCAUCGGAAACUGGAUAACUUGAGUGCAGAAGAGGGUAGUGGAACUCCAUGUGUAGCGGUGGAAUGCGUAGAUAUAUGGAAGAACACCAGUGGCGAAGGCGGCUACCUGGUCUGCAACUGACGCUGAGACUCGAAAGCAUGGGUAGCGAACAGGAUUAGAUACCCUGGUAGUCCAUGCCGUAAACGAUGAGUGCUAGGUGUUGGAGGGUUUCCGCCCUUCAGUGCCGGAGCUAACGCAUUAAGCACUCCGCCUGGGGAGUACGACCGCAAGGUUGAAACUCAAAGGAAUUGACGGGGGCCCGCACAAGCGGUGGAGCAUGUGGUUUAAUUCGAAGCUACGCGAAGAACCUUACCAGGUCUUGACAUCUUGCGCCAACCCUAGAGAUAGGGCGUUUCCUUCGGGAACGCAAUGACAGGUGGUGCAUGGUCGUCGUCAGCUCGUGUCGUGAGAUGUUGGGUUAAGUCCCGCAACGAGCGCAACCCUUGUUACUAGUUGCCAGCAUUAAGUUGGGCACUCUAGUGAGACUGCCGGUGACAAACCGGAGGAAGGUGGGGACGACGUCAGAUCAUCAUGCCCCUUAUGACCUGGGCUACACACGUGCUACAAUGGACGGUACAACGAGUCGCGAACUCGCGAGGGCAAGCAAAUCUCUUAAAACCGUUCUCAGUUCGGACUGCAGGCUGCAACUCGCCUGCACGAAGUCGGAAUCGCUAGUAAUCGCGGAUCAGCAUGCCGCGGUGAAUACGUUCCCGGGCCUUGUACACACCGCCCGUCACACCAUGAGAGUUUGUAACACCCAAAGUCGGUGGGGUAACCUUUAGGAGCCAGCCGCCUAAGGGGGAACAAGAAAG
RNAcentral lists this ribosomal RNA (1484 nucleotides) under Limosilactobacillus fermentum. Its description in RNAcentral is "bacterial SSU rRNA". It matches the Rfam family "Bacterial small subunit ribosomal RNA". The record is from RNAcentral. Lineage: Bacteria; Bacillati; Bacillota; Bacilli; Lactobacillales; Lactobacillaceae.